AAAGCGCACGCAGGCGGUUUUGUUAAGUCAGAUGUGAAAAUCCCCGGGGCUCCAACCUGGGAACUGCAUCUGAUACUGGCAAGCUUGAGUCUCGUAGAGGGGGGGUAGAAUUCCAGGUGUAGCGGUGAAAUGCGUAGAGAUCUGGAGGAAUACCGGUGGCGAAGGCGGCCCCCUGGACGAAGACUGACGCUCAGGUGCGAAAGCGUGGGGAGCAAACAGGAUUAGAUACCCUGGUAGUCCACGCCGUAAACGAUGUCGACUUGGAGGUUGUGCCCUUGAGGCGUGGCUUCCGGAGCUAACGCGUUAAGUCGACCGCCUGGGGAGUACGGCCGCAAGGUUAAAACUCAAAUGAAUUGACGGGGGCCCGCACAAGCGGUGGAGCAUGUGGUUUAAUUCGAUGCAACGCGAAGAACCUUACCUGGUCUUGACAUCCACGGAAGUUUUCAGAGAUGAGAAUGUGCCUUCGGGAACCGUGAGACAGGUGCUGCAUGGCUGUCGUCAGCUCGUGUUGUGAAAUGUUGGGUUAAGUCCCGCAACGAGCGCAACCCUUAUCCUUUGUUGCCAGCGGUCCGGCCGGGAACUCAAAGGAGACUGCCAGUGAUAAACUGGAGGAAGGUGGGGAUGACGUCAAGUCAUCAUGGCCCUUACGACCAGGGCUACACACGUGCUACAAUGGCGCAUACAAAGAGAAGCGACCUCGCGAGAGCAAGCGGACCUCAUAAAGUGCGUCGUAGUCCGGAUUGGAGUCUGCAACUCGACUCCAUGAAGUCGGAAUCGCUAGUAAUCGUGGAUCAGAAUGCCACGGUGAAUACGUUCCCGGGCCUUGUACACACCGCCCGUCACACCAUGGGAGUGGGUUGCAAAAGAAGUAGGUAGCUUAACCUUCGGGAGGCGCU
This 896-nucleotide ribosomal RNA is filed under the name Escherichia coli. RNAcentral's name for it is "bacterial SSU rRNA". It matches the Rfam family "Bacterial small subunit ribosomal RNA", at positions 562 to 1454 of the family's 1533-position model. The record is from RNAcentral. Lineage: Bacteria; Pseudomonadati; Pseudomonadota; Gammaproteobacteria; Enterobacterales; Enterobacteriaceae.